UCUGCAUCCUGAAUAUGACUCUAGAUAUGGAAUGAUGUCAAAUCUAAUAUCAUACUCAUAUUUUUCUUAAUCUUUAAUGAUGAUUCAAUUAAUAAAAUAUUAAAAAUUAUUUUUAAUUUUCAUUCUACUUUGAUCAAAGACUUUCUGAAUUAUCAAUCGAUCAGAGCAAGUAAGAUGCGAUCACCUCUUACCAGGAGUGAUUGAUUCCAUGUUGACUUACUCACAACCUCCAUACAUAUGCCACCAUAUCCAAAUCACCCCAUAUAUAAUUAAGUCAUGAAUGAGUAUGAACCAAAAUAUAGAUUCAUGUAUACAAGAUUC
RNAcentral lists this long non-coding RNA (321 nucleotides) under Elaeis guineensis (African oil palm). Its description in RNAcentral is "long non-coding RNA (EGUI_LNC067206)". The record is from RNAcentral. Lineage: Eukaryota; Viridiplantae; Streptophyta; Magnoliopsida; Arecales; Arecaceae.